GGGAAAACCCUAUACAAAUCGUAAGGGUCAAGAAAAAAAUGGGAAAAGCUGUCCAAAAGAGGGAAGAGCGUGUUCCACGACGUGCAGAAAGGAUUGUGGAAAGUUGAUUGAUGAGCGCAAGCUGCAUCUGUUCAACAGUUUCUACACUGUCCCAUACGAGAAACAACCAGCAAAACCAUUCAAGGUGAUGAGGAUGCAAUGUGAAGACUUCAGUCACCUCCCAGAUUCUGUUCUCAAGCGACUUGCUGGACUACAGAUCACUUCAGUGAGGUGGUUAAAAGUCACAUGUAUUGCACAGAGAAUAGUUUACUAACAUCCCAUCAACAUGCAACAUGUUGUUCUAACAAUAAAAUAUCCUAAUGAUU
Salmo salar (Atlantic salmon) is the source of this 365-nucleotide long non-coding RNA. RefSeq lists it as uncharacterized. NCBI's taxonomy places the organism in Eukaryota, Metazoa, Chordata, Actinopteri, Salmoniformes, Salmonidae. The record is from RefSeq and is a predicted model, not a curated record.